This 253-nucleotide ribosomal RNA is filed under the name uncultured bacterium. Its description in RNAcentral is "partial 16S ribosomal RNA". It matches the Rfam family "Bacterial small subunit ribosomal RNA", at positions 524 to 776 of the family's 1533-position model. The record is from RNAcentral.
UACGUAGGGUGCGAGCGUUAAUCGGAAUUACUGGGCGUAAAGCGUGCGCAGGCGGUGAUGUAAGACCGAUGUGAAAUCCCCGGGCUUAACCUGGGAACUGCAUUGGUGACUGGCGGGCUAGAGUAUGGCAGAGGGGGGUAGAAUUCCACGUGUAGCAGUGAAAUGCGUAGAGAUGUGGAGGAAUACCGAUGGCGAAGGCAGCCCCCUGGGCCAAUACUGACGCUCAUGCACGAAAGCGUGGGGAGCAAACAGG